CCUACGGGUGGCAGCAGUGAGGAAUAUUGGUCAAUGGGCUUACGCCUGAACCAGCCAAGUCGCGUGAGGGAAGACUGCCCUAUGGGUUGUAAACCUCUUUUGUCAGGGAGCAACGCUGGCUACGUGUAUCCGGCCUGAGAGUCUCUGAAGAAAAAGCAUCGGCUAAUUCCGUGCCAGCAGCCGCGGUAAUACGGAGGAUGCGAGCGUUAUCCGGAUUUAUUGGGUUUAAAGGGAGCGUAGGUGGAUUGUUAAGUCAGUUGUGAAUGUUUGCGGAUCAACCGUAAAAUUGCAGUUGAAACUGGCAGUCUUGAGUACAGUAGAGGUGGGCGGAAUGCAUGGUGUAGCGGUGAAAUGCUUAGAGAUCACGAAGAACUCCGAUUGCGAAGGCAGUUCACUGAACUGCAACUGACACUGAGGCUCGAAAGUGUGGGUAUCAAACAGGAUUAGAUACCCCAGUAGUC
RNAcentral lists this ribosomal RNA (461 nucleotides) under uncultured bacterium. Its description in RNAcentral is "partial 16S ribosomal RNA". It matches the Rfam family "Bacterial small subunit ribosomal RNA", at positions 338 to 795 of the family's 1533-position model. The record is from RNAcentral.